CCUGUUUCUCGGAUCAGCGACCCGCCAAGGAGACCGGGAAUCUCCUCCGUCCAGCCACUUAUCAGUGGCGCACCACCAGCAUUGGGAUCGCCUCGACGUCACGACCAAGCCUGUGGCCUGGGUUUCCACCGACAGGCUCCGACGAAGUCAAUCUGAAGUCGAGAAGUUUCUUUGUUUCGGACGGUUUCUUGUGUUUUCCGGCGGCUCCGGUAGCCGAUGAGGACAUGCAAGGUAAGAAAAUUAAUCUUCUUGUUGGGCUCUACAUUCUGGUAUAACUGCUUUUCGAUUUCGGUUGAGCUUUGAGGAAUUGAUGUUUUGGGAUUCGUCGACUUUUUCCCGAGGUACUGACCACAGCGGCUUUCUGCACUUUCCGGCUUUUUCGAUCAUCAUUGGUGGUAAGCUUAGAGACCAUUGGAGCUGUGUCGGAAUCGGAACGAGGAUGAAUUGGAAUUUGGUUUGUUCCGGCUGUUCUGCAUAGAGAAUUCUGUGUCGUAAAGGUGAAGUGGCAGCAGCUUAAAAGAUAUUUGAAUUUUGUGAUUAAGAAGUGUGAAGCUGAAAAAGAAAGCCUAAGAGUUGGGACAUCGGUGAUCACCUGGGUUCGAGAACUUAAGGCAAUACAGUGUUUACUGCUGGCGUGUUUUUGUCAAGUGCGCAUGCGUGGGUUUGUAUAAUUACUACAAGUAAAGAGUUGAGGGAUUGCAUUUGUGUUUGGAGUGGAACUUGGGCAACGGAGUCUUCACAGAGGGACUCUAGUUACCCGAAAUGUGAAACAUGGUGGUGUUGGCCUAGGAAAGCGAAUGGGUUCAAAGCUGCAAUAUUUCAGGUAGGGGAUUCUGGACUCGUCUCAGUUAGUUAUUUUUAUGCAUGGAUUUUAUGAAAAAUUAAUGAUGCAUGAAAAAGAAUUUGGUUCUUAUUUCAUUUUCUAUGAGCUAUUGUUUGAUGACCUGCGAGUGAAAGGAGCAUAGCGACUUCCUUGGGUUUCGAUCCUCUAAACCUCUGGAGGGGCUGUAUGGACUGAAGAGUAUCUGACAUCCUUUGAGGUGUGGCACUGCUUCUAGGUGAUACGGCGUAAGUGGACACUCUCACUACACAUUGCCAGCGUAAUCGAUAUUAAUCGUGGUAAGGUUGUAGUUGGCAUAGCGAUCGGUCAUCAAGUCUGUUUCAUUCUUCUGGGCCCUACUGUACUUUUAUAAAUGAACUACGGUUUGUGGUUUCGAACAUCUUUAUCUAUAUGCAUUGUUUUCUCACUUACUUUGCCGACACCUGUAUUUUAAAUUGUUUUACACCUAGCUGGGGUAGAGUCUUAUUGAGCAGCGAGGACGAAAGCUCACCCCUACAACAGUUUGUGGAUGCAGGUACUGUGUACGAAGACGGGACAGUUGGACAAUGCUAAAUGUGGCUUAAUUACCCUGUACUUCAAUUGUGUCAUCGACGGAGUUAGAUCUGCAUGACAUGUCUUAUUUCCUCUAUUCUCGCAAAACUUGUUUAUCGAGUUUAUGAUUGUUUGUAAAAUACUUCUUUUGUAUAUUUUUUUUGGACUUUGGCCUUGAACUGGACGAACAUUCGAUAAUUGUUUUGAAAUGACUUGUAUUUGUUUUCUUUAAAGGAUUUCCGAUGGUUUU
Long non-coding RNA from Rosa chinensis, 1622 nucleotides. RefSeq lists it as uncharacterized. NCBI's taxonomy places the organism in Eukaryota, Viridiplantae, Streptophyta, Magnoliopsida, Rosales, Rosaceae. The transcript is spliced from 4 exons. The record is from RefSeq and is a predicted model, not a curated record.